RNAcentral lists this ribosomal RNA (501 nucleotides) under uncultured bacterium. RNAcentral's name for it is "partial 16S ribosomal RNA". It matches the Rfam family "Bacterial small subunit ribosomal RNA", at positions 30 to 523 of the family's 1533-position model. The record is from RNAcentral.
AUUGAACGCUGGCGGCAGGCUUAACACAUGCAAGUCGAGCGGGGGAAGGUAGCUUGCUACCGGACCUAGCGGCGGACGGGUGAGUAAUGCUUAGGAACCUGCCUAUUAGUGGGGGACAACAUCUCGAAAGGGAUGCUAAUACCGCAUACGUCCUACGGGAGAAAGCAGGGGAUCUUCGGACCUUGCGCUAAUAGAUGAGCCUAAGUCGGAUUAGCUAGUUGGUGGGGUAAAGGCCUACCAAGGCGACGAUCUGUAGCGGGUCUGAGAGGAUGAUCCGCCACACUGGGACUAAGACACGGCCCAGACUCCUACGGGAGGCAGCAGUGGGGAAUAUUGGACAAUGGGGGGAACCCUGAUCCAGCCAUGCCGCGUGUGUGAAGAAGGCCUUAUGGUUGUAAAGCACUUUAAGCGAGGAGGAGGCUACUUUAGUUAAUACCUAGAGAUAGUGGACGUUACUCGCAGAAUAAGCACCGGCUAACUCUGUGCCAGCCGCCGCAGUAA